Ixodes scapularis (black-legged tick) is the source of this 218-nucleotide long non-coding RNA. RefSeq lists it as uncharacterized. Lineage: Eukaryota; Metazoa; Arthropoda; Arachnida; Ixodida; Ixodidae. The record is from RefSeq and is a predicted model, not a curated record. The transcript is spliced from 3 exons.
GUGCGAGCCGAAUGAAGCCUGCCAAGGCGUUCCACCUACGGACCCGACCUUUAGCCGACUUCUCUCGGACGAAUUCGUGUGUCUGGUAAAUCUUCAGCCGAUGAUGACAAGCAUGAUAGUGUACAACGACGUGGGGUGCUACCUCAGCAAACUGCUGAACCAGACGGAUUAUACGGGAUACCCGGUGACAGACCAGGUGGAAACUGUCCAGUCUCAGC